UUGACCUCGGAUCCCGUAGCAUAU
Molecule: ribosomal RNA, 24 nt
Filed under: Passalora dissiliens
Lineage: Eukaryota; Fungi; Ascomycota; Dothideomycetes; Mycosphaerellales; Mycosphaerellaceae
Description: partial 28S ribosomal RNA
Source: RNAcentral